UCUCCGUUGGUGAACCAGCGGAGGGAUCAUUACCGAGUUUACACCUUCCAAACCCCAUGUGAACCAUACCAAACUGUUGCCUCGGCGGGGUCACGCCCCGGGUGCGUCGCAGCCCCGGAACCAGGCGCCCGCCGGAGGGACCAACCAAACUCUUUCUGUAGUCCCCUCGCGGACGUUAUUUUUACAGCUCUGAGCAAAAAUUCAAAAUGAAUCAAAACUUUCAACAACGGAUCUCUUGGUUCUG
RNAcentral lists this unclassified non-coding RNA (244 nucleotides) under plant metagenome. RNAcentral describes it as "partial contains small subunit ribosomal RNA, internal transcribed spacer 1, and 5.8S ribosomal RNA". The record is from RNAcentral.